Molecule: small nucleolar RNA, 79 nt
Organism: Mesocricetus auratus (golden hamster)
Lineage: Eukaryota; Metazoa; Chordata; Mammalia; Rodentia; Cricetidae
Gene: SNORD115
Rfam family: Small nucleolar RNA SNORD115
About the family: HBII-52 is a member of the C/D class of snoRNAs, which contain the C (UGAUGA) and D (CUGA) box motifs.
Source: Ensembl
GGAUCUAUGAUGACAAACCAAUGUUAUGAAGAGAGGUGAUGACAUAAAAAUCAUGCUCAAUGGGAUUACGCUGAUGCCC